This is a non-coding RNA of Caenorhabditis elegans, 21 nucleotides long. The record is from Ensembl. NCBI's taxonomy places the organism in Eukaryota, Metazoa, Nematoda, Chromadorea, Rhabditida, Rhabditidae.
UGUUUAUAAAAUAAUAUGCGA